CCUACGGGUGGCAGCAGUGGGGAAUAUUGGACAAUGGGCGAAAGCCUGAUCCAGCCAUGCCGCGUGUGUGAAGAAGGCCUUCGGGUUGUAAAGCACUUUCGGUGGGGAAGAAAGCCUUGGGGCUAAUACCCUCGAGGAAGGACAUCACCCACAGAAGAAGCACCGGCUAACUCCGUGCCAGCAGCCGCGGUAAUACGGAGGGUGCGAGCGUUAAUCGGAAUUACUGGGCGUAAAGCGCGCGUAGGCGGUCUGAUAAGCCGGUUGUGAAAGCCCCGGGCUCAACCUGGGAACGGCAUCCGGAACUGUCAGGCUAGAGUGCAGGAGAGGAAGGUAGAAUUCCCGGUGUAGCGGUGAAAUGCGUAGAGAUCGGGAGGAAUACCAGUGGCGAAGGCGGCCUUCUGGACUGACACUGACGCUGAGGUGCGAAAGCGUGGGUAGCAAACAGGAUUAGAUACCCCAGUAGUC
RNAcentral lists this ribosomal RNA (465 nucleotides) under Vreelandella stevensii. RNAcentral describes it as "partial 16S ribosomal RNA". It matches the Rfam family "Bacterial small subunit ribosomal RNA", at positions 338 to 795 of the family's 1533-position model. Lineage: Bacteria; Pseudomonadati; Pseudomonadota; Gammaproteobacteria; Oceanospirillales; Halomonadaceae. The record is from RNAcentral.